CAGAAGCUGUCCUAUUAACCUAGUCUCUGCACCUGCUUUAAGUCUUUUGCGUCAAGCAGAAGCACCAGUGGGAAUGUUUAUGUUGACACAAGGAGCGACAGGCAUUUCUGACAGGCACAUACUAAGACCUCAGAGCAGUUUUUUUUCAAGCUCAAGGGGAGCAAUAUUUUCAGAAGCUUCCUGAUAUAUCCUGGAAACUGGCAUGGCCAAUUGAUAUUUUUUGUUUUUCAUUUUUUUUGCCUAGGCUGAUCGAUGCUUCACCAUUUCCCAUGAGCACCUGCUUUCUUCUCCCAUAUACUCUGAAUGAUUCAUAGAGUCUUCCUGACGAUUCCAACCACAGAAGUACUUUCUGUCUAAAGCAUUAAGCCUGAAAAUCCAUAACUCACAGGGUCCUCGGAACAAUUGGGAGAAUAAGAGGCACUGAAAGUGAUACCCGGAGCUGGAAGUGGCCACAACAAGACUUGGAGAGCAGCAUCUUUCUCCUUGAUGAGCAGAAACACAGAUUAUUGCAACAUCUAUUUUGUGGCUGUGGACUUAUCUCUUCUUGGAACUCCUCCUGGACUGUGAGCUUCAGAUUCAGGACUGGGCACCAGAAGACUUUGCCGGUGGUCCAUGACUAAGACUCUGUGCUCCCAGUGCAGGGGCCCAGCUUUGAUCACUGGUCAGGAAACUAGAUCCCGCAUGCCCCAGCUAAGACCCAAUGCAGCCAAAUAAAUAAAUAAACUUUUUUUAAAAAGGAUAUCACAGAAAAAUGCAAAGGAGUAAAAAAGAAUAUGUAGGUAUGCAUACAGUAGGGAUAUAAAAA
Long non-coding RNA from Bubalus bubalis (water buffalo), 805 nucleotides. RefSeq lists it as uncharacterized. Lineage: Eukaryota; Metazoa; Chordata; Mammalia; Artiodactyla; Bovidae. The record is from RefSeq and is a predicted model, not a curated record. The transcript has 3 exons.